This 460-nucleotide ribosomal RNA is filed under the name uncultured bacterium. RNAcentral describes it as "partial 16S ribosomal RNA". It matches the Rfam family "Bacterial small subunit ribosomal RNA", at positions 338 to 795 of the family's 1533-position model. The record is from RNAcentral.
CCUACGUGAGGCAGCAGUGAGGAAUAUUGGUCAAUGGACGAGAGUCUGAACCAGCCAAGUAGCGUGAAGGAUGACUGCCCUAUGGGUUGUAAACUUCUUUUAUAUGGGAAUAAAACGUUCCACGCGUGGCAUUUUGUAUGUACCAUACGAAUAAGGAUCGGCUAACUCCGUGCCAGCAGCCGCGGUAAUACGGAGGAUUCGAGCGUUAUCCGGAUUUAUUGGGUUUAAAGGGAGCGUAGGUGGUCUGUUAAGUCAGUUGUGAAAGUUUGCGGCUCAACCGUGAAAUUGCCGUUGAAACUGGCAGUCUUGAGUGCAGUAGAGGUGGGCGGAAGUCGUGGUGUAGCGGUGAAAUGCUUAGAUAUCACGAAGAACUCCGAUUGCGAAGGCAGUUCACUGGACUGCAACUGACACUGAGGCUCGAAAGUGUGGGUAGCAAACAGGAUUAGAUACCCUUGUAGUC